GUAGCUUACCAAGCAUGUUGCCACUCUACAGGUAUCUGAAGUGUAUAUGUUCUAAGGAAGAACAGAUGUCCAUAACUGGGGGAAGGAAAUAGAGAGCAAGAUUAAGGGUCACACUAGAUACUUGCUGGAUACAUAGGCUGUAUCUAUUUUUCUAGUUCUGGUCUGAAUAUUGAAAGUGGGGUUUUUUGCAGGGUGGGGAGGUUGUUUUUAGGCAUUAAGGUCACAGUCUUGGGGCUACUCUGGGAUGUGAAUGCAUUGAAAUUUCUUAAACCGUACCUAUUGGUGCAGCAGUGGAUGAGAACCAAUAAACUGAAGCUUAAUCAAGUUAAGACUGUGGCGUUGUUAGUAAGUAGCUCCUUAGACCAAAUGGGCAAGAGAAGACCUGAGGGAAGCCAUAUCAGUCACCUGAACUGAUAGUUAUUUCUUCAGUGUACAAUCAUGAAG
Non-coding RNA from Podarcis muralis (Common wall lizard), 444 nucleotides. The record is from RefSeq and is a predicted model, not a curated record. Lineage: Eukaryota; Metazoa; Chordata; Lepidosauria; Squamata; Lacertidae.